AACUUUUAGCAACGGAUCUCUCCUCUUUGGACAACUUUCAACAACGGAUCACUUGGUUCUCGCAUCGAUGAAGAACGCAGCGAAUUGCGAUAUGUAAUGUGAAUUGCAGAAUUCAGUGAAUCAUCGAAUCUUUGAACGCACCUUGCGCCCUUUGGUAUUCCGAAGGGCAUGCCUGUUUGAGUGUCAUUAAAUUCUCAACUUCAAAUUUCUAUUUUGAAGCUUGGAUGUUGGAGGCUUUGCAGGCAUUUAUUUUGCCAGCUCCUCUUAAAUGCAUUAGCAGAACUUGUAUGUUCGGCUCUGGUUUGAUAAUACUAUCUAUGCCAUUGCUGAAAGGUCAUUGUUCAGCUUCUAAUUGUCCAUUGCAUUGGACUGUCCCUUUGGAGGCAUAACCUUUUGACUUGACCUCAAAUCAGGUAGGACUACCCGCUGAACUUAAGCAUAUCAAUAAGCGGAGGCU
RNAcentral lists this unclassified non-coding RNA (457 nucleotides) under uncultured Clavulinopsis. RNAcentral describes it as "sequence contains ITS2". The stretch from base 33 to 186 matches the Rfam family "5.8S ribosomal RNA". The record is from RNAcentral. Lineage: Eukaryota; Fungi; Basidiomycota; Agaricomycetes; Agaricales; Clavariaceae.